UCUCUUUUUAGAAUGUGAUCUAGUAAAAUGUGAGUGGUCCCAGCAGAACCAGCACUGCCAGGAGGACCAGAUUCUCUUUGCUUCCCCAGUGAACAAUUCCUGCUGUGUCCGGCACUUCUGUGGUAAGAAUCGUGGCAACGUGCCACUGACUGCUCCUAGGAUAGAGUGGAGGGAAGGAAUUACUCAUGGCACCAUGGCACUGUCUGCUCCUAGUAUAGAGAGGAGGGAAGAAUAUCUUGUGUCACCAUGGUACUGACUCAGUGGCGUAACUAGAUAUUACUGGGUCCCACAGCUAAUUUUUUUCCAGGCCCCCAAGCUUGCAGCACAUUAUCAGGAAUACUCCUGCUGCCCCAGAUAUUCCUGUAGUAAGUACAGCUGGGGGCCACACUGCCAGUAUGAGUCCAAUAUGACUCAAAUCUGUACCUCCAUUCUCUUUUUAGAAUGUGAUCUAGUAAAAUGUGAGCGGUCCCAGCAGAACCAGCACUGCCAGGAGGACCAGAUUCUCUUUGCUUCCCCAGUGAACAAUUCCUGCUGUGUCCGGCACUUCUGUGCUGGAGAAAUCUUUAUGGUGGAGGGAAACAGUACAGAACUCUGCUGCCCUUCCUAUAAUGUGUGUGUGACGGCUCUCAGUGCCCUGAUAUUACAGUAGAUGUGACUUUGGGAUGUCGGCCGUGGAGAUUUGGACCCCUGACACCUGUUGCCCUUACAGAACCUGUGAAUGUUCCUGUAAUAAACUCCCGGUACCAGACUGCAAACUGUCUUGGAAUUACACAAUCACAGCACACAGAACCAAGUAUAUGAACCCCCAAGAGACCUGGCCACGUGCUGUGGGAACUGCUGCAAUGUUUCCUGCCUCCAGACCUUACUGAAUGGGACGCUGCUCAGUCACAGGGUUUUGGGCCAUCGCCUUCCACAAUGGUCUUGACUGCACAAGCUUUUCUGAGCAGCUACAGGCAAACUGGAGGACACUCGGCACCCUGAGAACUGCUGAUCAAUCCCAUGUCGUAGGGAUACAAACAACUCCCUGGACAGCAGGCAAAUAUCACUGGGCAAAUGAGUGCUUCAGAGUA
This is a long non-coding RNA of Xenopus laevis (African clawed frog), 1070 nucleotides long. RefSeq lists it as uncharacterized. The transcript has 7 exons. The record is from RefSeq and is a predicted model, not a curated record. Lineage: Eukaryota; Metazoa; Chordata; Amphibia; Anura; Pipidae.